ACAAUUCACUAAUUAAAUUCAGUGUGGAAAGCUAAGUGAAUAGAACAAAAUAAUGAUUCAUCAUAAAGCAUGGGAAAAAUAAGUUUGAAAAAAAAUGGUGGGUGUUGUGGCUUUAGUGUGAAAGGAGGGAGGAAUGUGGUUUUGGAAAAGUGAAAAAUAAUAAAGGUUGGGGUGAGGGAGAACAUGAGGGUUUGUAAGUAAUGAGAUGGGAAAAAUAGAAGGGGAAAAAGGGAUAAUGGGAAUGGGUUCAUGGUUUUUUUAAAAGAAAAGAAAAGAAGGGAGAUGAGAAGAGUGAGGGUUGAAGUACCUGAAAAACACUAGAAGUGGGUGGAGGUUGAAUAGUGUUAAUGGAAAACGUUUUCACAACCCUUCUGAUGUAGCACAUUGUCGAGCUCUUGAAAUAUUCUUUUGAAAGCUUAAAUGCUCGACUUGAGAAAUAUGUAUAAUCAUUGAUAAGUUUGGCCAUUCCUAGUACUCAGCAGCCUGUUGAGAUUUCAUUUGAGUCACACCAUUCCUAGUACUAGACUACCGCGCAUAGUUCAGUUGUAAGUGUUUUAAUUCUCUUCAGAAUUGUAAUCAACGAUUUCUGACAAGUAGUUCAGAUUAUAUCUCUCAACAAGAGGAUUUGAAUACAAUAUUAAUGCAGUCUAAACACUUGCAGGUGUUUCUCUCUUCUCUUUUAUAGUAGUAAGCAAUUUGACAAUGAAGUUCGAGAAUAUCUCUUUCUCUUUUUCUCUUCUCUUCUCUUUUCUUCAGCUCAGAUGUAUUCUUUUUAUUGAGAUCUUUAUCUUUUUAUCUUCAGGAUGAAUAUGUCAUUGUAAGCUAUUCUUUCUUAAGAUU
Molecule: long non-coding RNA, 840 nt
Filed under: Vigna radiata
Lineage: Eukaryota; Viridiplantae; Streptophyta; Magnoliopsida; Fabales; Fabaceae
Description: long non-coding RNA (VRAD_LNC005980)
Source: RNAcentral